UACGGAGGGUGCAAGCGUUAUCCGGAUUUACUGGGUUUAAAGGGCGCGUAGGCGGCCAUUCAAGUGACGGGUGAAAGCCCUCGGCUUAACCGAGGAACUGCCUGUCAGACUGGAUGGCUUGAGACCGGGAGAGGUGAGUGGAAUUCCCAGUGUAGCGGUGAAAUGCGUAGAUAUUGGGGAGGAACACCGAUGGCGAAGGCAAUCCCCUGGGCCUGCACUGACGCUCAUGCACGAAAGCGUGGGAGCAAACAGG
This 253-nucleotide ribosomal RNA is filed under the name uncultured bacterium. Its description in RNAcentral is "partial 16S ribosomal RNA". It matches the Rfam family "Bacterial small subunit ribosomal RNA", at positions 524 to 776 of the family's 1533-position model. The record is from RNAcentral.